Homo sapiens (human) is the source of this 998-nucleotide long non-coding RNA. Ensembl annotates it as MRPS9 antisense RNA 2. Its record names the gene MRPS9-AS2. Lineage: Eukaryota; Metazoa; Chordata; Mammalia; Primates; Hominidae. The record is from Ensembl.
CCUGCUCGGUGUCGACCUCAAGAAGGAUCGCUGGUGGGUCGUUUUUCUCGGCCUCUUUCUCUUCACGUCCUGAACUCAGUCUCUUCGGGACUCACUUCCACGCUCUCCUAGUCUCUUUGGCACUCACAUCCACGUGGCGCUUUAGCCAGCCCUUCCUUCCCAGCCCCCUUGCUGCACCUCGAGCCGGCUCUUCCUCCACCUGGGCAGGGCGGCCGGGGCCCCAGAUGCGCUCCAAGCCUUGAUUCCUGUCUGCCUUAUCCUAGUAGGGGUUUUCCCCUCCUCUAACUUUCCACGUUCGUCUGGUUCCAAGUCAAGACUCUCCUGCAGCAACUGUCAAGCCCCUCUCGGUUCCCUGGCACUCUCCUGCGUUGUUUCUUAACUGUAUAAUGCACAGGAUAAACCUUAAACCGAAGGCUGUCUCCUGCGAGGACCAGAAGUUGAGCCAAGGCACAUGGAACUUACAAUAGCAGAUGGGCAGAAGGAGAACUCCUGAAGCCUCCGAAGGAAGGAAAUCAUUACAGGGCCCUACAGAAGUAGGUCAUGUGCUACAGCUGCUCAUAGUUUAAGAGGAAGAAACAUGGGAUCUCAAACCUGGAACACGACUCUUUCAAAAUGCUUGUGAGCAACCCAAGAAAAACAUCCUCCUGAGGCUUAUCUAAUAACCAUGAUCUCUAAUCGUCUCAAUGUGUGCUCAUGUUUCCUUAGGAGUUUGCACCCACUUCUCAGAGCUAACGAGAUGCCGAAACAGAACACAGAAAAAAGUAAUGAAGGAGAUUUAAUAGUUUGUGUUAAAGCUAAUAUGGUCCAUUAGGGGCUGUCAUUUUUAUAAACAGUGAGGAUACGUUACCCUCUUCUUUGGUGUAAAGUCAUUCCGUGCAGGACCUGUAAACAUUCAGUAAUGAUCUGUAGAACAUGCAUGAACGACAAUUAAAGCACCACUUGAAAAGUCUGUUUUCCUCACAUAUUUGUUUUCUUGCUAAAUAAACUUGUAAAGUUCA